GGUCUCGCUAUGUUGCCCAGGUGGUCUUGAACUCCUGGGCUCAAGCGAUCUACCGGCCUUGGCCUCCCAAAGUGCUGGGAUUACAGGCGUGAGCCACCAUGCCUGGCCCACUGAGGGUACAUACUGUUUAUGUAAUUAAGGGAAGUGUUAUCUUAGCUUUGACUUGAAAUAAUGUGUAGACAGAGGAGAUGCUGACUCCUGUGGGUGGGGAAUCAGCUCAGGAAAGGCCCUUGCCCAGGCCCAAGUCUGCAGUGAGGGGUGAGGGAAUGUGAGCUCAGGGGACUUCCUGGCCAAUCCCAGAAUUCUCUCUGGCCCUCAGGCCGUGGAUCCAGGACAUCGAGGGAGCCAGCGCCAAGGACCUUUGCAGCGCGUCUUCGGUUGUGUCCCCGUCUUUUGUACCAACAGGGGAGAAGCCAUGUGAGCAAGUCCAGUUCCAGCCCAACACAGUGAACACUUUGGCCUGCCCGCUCCUCUCCAACCUGGCGACCCGACUCUGGCUACGCAACGGGGCCCCCGUCAAUGCCUCGGCCUCCUGCCACGUGCUACCCACUGGGGACCUGCUGC
RNAcentral lists this small RNA (564 nucleotides) under Pan troglodytes (chimpanzee). RNAcentral describes it as "retained intron". The record is from RNAcentral. Lineage: Eukaryota; Metazoa; Chordata; Mammalia; Primates; Hominidae.